CUGUUACUCCCUCCGUUCGGAAUUACUUGUUACGAAAAUGGAUGUAUCUAGAACUAAAAUACGUCUAGAUACCUCCAUUUCUGCGACAAGUAAUUUCGAACGGAGGGAGUAGAAG
Triticum aestivum (bread wheat) is the source of this 115-nucleotide non-coding RNA. The record is from Rfam. NCBI's taxonomy places the organism in Eukaryota, Viridiplantae, Streptophyta, Magnoliopsida, Poales, Poaceae.